GUUUUACCAUGGUAGUGUCCGGGCAGCAGGUCGUCAGUUCCUCGCCCCGUUGGUCAGCGUGAGGCGCAGUGGUCGUCGUGUGGCCGUGUUGUCAGCUGUCAUCCCCGCUCCCGCGCCCUUCCAGCCCCUGUUUUUAGCCGCCUGAGGCCUUUUAGCCGCCCAAAAUGGCCAGUGGAGUGCAGCAGGCAGAUUUACCGUGGUGGCAGAAGUACCUGGCCCGUGGGGUUGGCUGCGGGGGAGGCGUCAUUGCCCUGGGUCUUGGGCUGUUCAACUGCAUCAGCUUAUCUGCGUUCUGCAUUGUUGCUGGGAUAUGGCAGAUGUUGGCAGCUUUUAUCGUGAUAUCGGCCGAGGCUCCAUGCUGCUGCAUGUUCAUAGAAUUUGUGCAGCGCUACUCAGUGUGGGUGGACGCGCGGCCACACUGGCAGAAGGCCGUCUUAUACAUUGGCCUGUCCAUCCCCUCCUUCAUCAUGUGCAUCUCUGUGUCCGUCAUUCUGGGCUCAGGCUUGAUCUUCCCAAAGCGGGUUGCUGUAUGCGGUAUGAUGGCUCUUGGCAAAAAGGGGAGCCGCGAGGACAUGAUGGCCGCCGCCGCCACAAACAGCCACUCGGGGAUGUCCACCUCCCAGAGUGCCAUCCUCGUAGAUGACCCCGAGGCCUGGCGCUCCACCUGAACCGGCAGGGCCACUCGUAACUCCCAUCACCACCUCCACCGCCACACCUUUGAUCACCUCACUUGUUGGUGUUGAGGCUCCCGGGAGGACAUGAUCGCUGCAGCCCAGAACUCUGGCCGGCCUGGCGGCAUGAAGGACAACCUGGUGGACGGCGGCUCAAGUCCUCCCGCCUAAGCUCCUCCACACUGCCGCCACCGCCGCCUACAGAGUUGAGUAGCUGAUGCGUCGGUGAUCAUCGAGCCACCGGAAGAAACUUUGCUGUCUUAACAAUAAUGUCUAGAAGUAUAUAACAAUUUGGUAGACCUGCUGGUGAUAACAUGAGUCAAGGCCAGGCCUGGUGUAGGUGUCGUAAGAAUUGCUCGGUUGUCCAGUAGUCCUUGUGAUGACCCAGUGGCUGAAGAUGUAAUAGUUGUUCAUCAUGUGAAGGGCACUAACUGAUGGCUAGGUUUUAUUUUAUUCAAUAGUUUGUCUUUUAAUCUGAACUUUUAAAUUAUGACCUCUUUGAAUUGCUCCCCAGAGGGAUGGUGACAACUGAACAACUAAAGUAUCUCUGGCUAUCUCUUCCCAGGCUUUUACUCUUUGCAGGUACUGAAACUUUGAUUUCUUUUAAUAGGCUGCUACAUUUUCCAUAUUUAUUCCCCAUCCCUUUCAUAUAUAUAUACUCACAUGUUUAUGUCAGUAACCUUACCGUUGACUUGAUAAGUGAAGCCCUGUCCUUGAAGUGUGCCUGUUGCUGCUUCACACUGCCAGCUGUCCACACACCUUCAGGCUGUAGAGUCUUGGUGACCUGUUGCCCCACCCUACCCGGGGAGGCAGGAACAAUAUUUAGGGCUGAAGGCUGCGGGACUGUAGUAGUUUGUGUGCACUCGGGCUGUUGUCAAGAUUUGCAUUCUUUGCCAUGGUAGGAAAGUGUGAUUUGAAAGUAUCAUAUCAUUGUAGUUUACUAAGUCAAAUUUUUCCAACUAGUGUUUUGCAAAGCUUGUUUUUUAAGCAAUUUACUGUGUGUAUUCUUAGCCAGGUUUGUUUUUUAAUUUGUGACACAUAUUUGAUUGAUUGAAAAACACUUUCAGUUGAAUUGAAAGCAAACAACAAGGUGCGGAUAUAUUAACGCUGGAGAAAAAGUCUUGUUGGUAUUCAAAAAAGUAAACUAAGAGUCAGAUAAGAAUAGAUAAUCAGCUUGGACACCAUAAACAUGUCCAAAUUUUUUCACCCAAGCUAUCUUGCCUUUUUCACAUUAGCCUCACCUUGAUCACAGACCCAAUCAACAGUAGCCACAGCCGUAGACUACACCCAAGUAGAGACAAACCACGCGCUGUCCAAUCCAGUAUAAAAGACACAUAACACGUAACGUUCUCCUUAGUUCUCAUUUGGCUAACACUGGAUGGUUUAGAGGUAAUGUGAAAGCAUCUUCUUGUGUCCUCCUUAUACUGAUGUUGGAAGCAAAGGUAUUAGGAAAUGUGUAUCUUGAUGGUCUUUUGAGUGUGUGAAGAGGUACUAUAUAGUGUCCGUGUUUUGUUCUAAGUAGCACUAAGUAGGAUAAGGCAGAAGGGCCAGUGCAGUUUGUGGGUGGGUGGGUGGGUGUGGGGGAUGCAGGGGCGAGAGGCUGUUGCAGCUGAAGGUGUUUUUAGGAGAGCAUUCUUGAUCUACGUUUCUCUUUUUCUGUCUCUGUCUUCCUGUGUCGUUGUGGUUCGCUAAUUUGUGUUGUCUUCUUUUUGUUAUGAUUCUCUGGUUCGUGUUCUUUUCUAAUCUUCUCUCUUUUAUCUGUUCUUUCUCUCUGCCAUUUCUCUUUUUCUUAGCUCUUUUCUAUCUCUGUCUCCUUCUCUGUCUUCCAAUGUCUUCUUGGCUCCCUAAUUUGUGGUGUUUUAUUUUUGUUAUGAUUCUCUGUUUCAUGUUCUUUUCUGCUCUUUUCUCUCUUUUGUACUUUUUAUCUGUUUUCUUCUUUGUCCUCUUUCAUUAUGGGUCUCUAUUUUGCCGAGCUCCCUUUGUCAAUAAUUCUCUAUUUUAUGUAUUAUCCGCACUUUUCUUUUUUAUAUCCAGUUCUUCGUUUCAUGCCCCUAUCUUUGCGGUCUUUCUUAAUUUUUAUCUUUUUUAUCCAUGCCCUCCUCUUCUUCCCUUAUGUUUUUUUCCUAGUUCUCUUUUUUUCAGUGAUUCUGGGUUAUGUUCUAUUCCACUUUCUUUUAAUCUUAAGGUUCUCCGUUUUCCACUCUCUCGUCUGUGCUGUCUUCUCUCUCAGUGGUUCUCUCAUUGUCCUUAUGGUGUUCUAUUUUCGGCUCUGUUAUCCUUCCCAUUGGUUCUCCUCACUCGCAUAUUAAUAGCUCUGCAGGGAUUCACAUCUUAAAUUAUAUCAUUCAUUCUUUCUGUCAGCAAUUCCAGGCAUAACGUAAUUUGUCUAUCUGGUUAAGUCAGUGGAUCAGCAGACGGUCAAGGUGUUUUUCCACUUCUUUAUUCCAUGAGAAGGUUUUUGAGGUAGGUACAUAGGCAACAGAGGUCACAUGGUGCUGACUUCCAAAGACUCCACAGGAAAUGUUACCAUGCAUACAAAUUGGACCUCACGUGUAUGCACAGGGUUCAGUGAUGUUUUAAUUAUUAUAAGGUGGUGAAAAAGAAAAGGUGGUUUAUAUUAUGUGAGUGGAAUUGGUGCAUUACAGAACACACUUCGUGUCUCCAAGGAUUGUUAUUGAUAUUGUUAUUAUUAUUAUUAUUAUUAUUAUUAUUAUUAUUAUUAUUAUUAUUAUUAUUAUUAUUAUCACUACUGCUACCGCUAUUGUUAUUAUUACUAUUGUUUUUCCUUGUCAUGGUAAAAGUGAGGUAUGUUACUGAUAUUACAACUUAUUAUUAUUAUUAUUGCUGGUAAUGAUUAGCAGGCCUUCCACAUUCCAGUGCUUGCUAAAAACAAACUUUCAGGCACAUUAAACACCCAAGUCAUGUGUUAAUCUGCCAUCUUACUGACAAACCACUGUGUCAGAAUUUGUUUGCUGGUUCAUCCUUGCUAAGUACUUGGUGAGGCUCUGGACCUGUACCCACUGUAAAGCAAAAAACAAAAGGCCAUACUGCUAAAAAGAGUCUGGCCUAAUAUUGCAAUACUGAACAAUGCUCUCUUAAGUUGCAAUAUUUAGUUUUCACCUUAAUGAUCUGUGCACUAGAGCUAUGAGUAACAGUGUACCAAAAGAACUGUGUGCAAAAUUACGUGCAAAGUAUAGCAUUAUUUUAUCACAGCAAGUGUGUUUUGUAUCCGCACUAUGCCGGAGGUCAUGUCGGAGUGCUCGUGUGUCAAAAUUCCCAUUGUGUUUGUGUCUGUUGGCUUCCUCGUCCCCUCGGAGUGAUGGUUGGGCUCCUCCCCCUCACACAGCCACUGGUUUUCCUCUUGUCGAAGUAAGGGGCAGCCUUCGCUCUGAUAGGAUUAUAGUAUCCCUUAAUUUGCUUAAGUCCGCUCAGUUCUCUUAAUUUAGGGAUGUUACCUCUGUUUGUCAGUGCACGAUGUAUGUACACUCGAUGUAUGAAGACUAGUCCCCACGUGUGUAAGCGAAGGUAAAGCAGCAAAGUACCAGCUAAACAUGGCUUGCAAAGGAGAGGGAAAGUAAGUUGUCAAUGUUUAGCUAAAUUUUGUUGCCUUUCUUUCCCACUCUGGUAGGUCCUUGCAGCAUAACUCAGCUUGUAUUUCUCUAGAGGAAAACAUAAGUCAUAUUUAAGGAACUUCCGAGGCAGAUAUACUUUUACUAGCAUAGAAAUGUAUGUUUUUAACUCAUAUAACCAAGGCUGGAGGAGGACUUGCUUGGUAAUUGCCUGAGUUAGGUUUUAUUUAACUAUCCUGGUUUUAUGCCACGAGAUUUUAGUUGUAAAAGAAUGAGCAAGUUGCCUUUUGUUUGUUUGUUUAUACGCUUUGUGAUUAAAAGAACAUUCUCAGGAACAAAGAUGGAUAGAUAUGGAGAUACAUGGAGAGGAGGCAAGACAGUUUCCUACCAUAAGAGCAAAAAAAAAGAAAAAAAAAGAAACUGUGUAAAUGUUAUAUUUGUACUUAUUUUGUGUGUCUAGGAUAUGUACCCGUUGAUAUCUCCAUCAUUAGUCAAACUUAAUUAACAACCUAACCAUGUAUAAUGAUGCGCUAACCAACACAUUAGCCCCCAGAACAAGCUGCCUGUAUGGGGUUCUGAUGCAUUCCAUAUUGUUCCUUAUGGUUUGGUACAUAUAGCCCUUUAGUAUUGAGUUGUGCUCCAUAACAUCCUAUUUGUUCUGUAUUCCUCCUUGUUUCCAUGCACUCUGGUGGUCAUUGUGGUGUGUGUGUCGUCAGUGUUGGUGUAGCUCAUUCAUCCUUGGUCAAGAUGGGUAGGUAGGUAGGGCGAAGUAAUUCCAGUUUAUCCACUCAGAAUUCAUCUUGAGAAUUUGUGUAACUUUCUUUUUUUAUUAUUAAAGUUUAUUUGAAAUUA
This is an RNA transcript of Eriocheir sinensis (Chinese mitten crab), 5092 nucleotides long. It is a transcript of the gene named calcium channel flower-like, with no coding region annotated. The transcript has 6 exons. The record is from RefSeq and is a predicted model, not a curated record. Lineage: Eukaryota; Metazoa; Arthropoda; Malacostraca; Decapoda; Varunidae.